AUUGAACGCUGGCGGCAGGCCUAACACAUGCAAGUCGAACGAGUGGCGGACGGGUGAGUAAUGUCUGGGAAACUGCCUGAUGGAGGGGGAUAACUACUGGAAACGGUAGCUAAUACCGCAUACCAUCAGAUGUGCCCAGAUGGGAUUAGCUUGUUGGUGGGGUAACGGCUCACCAAGGCGACGAUCCCUAGCUGGGCUGAGAGGAUGACCCGCCCAAAUUGGAAUUAGAAACGGGCCCGACUCCUACGGGGGGAAGGCGUGGGGAAUAUUGCACAAUGGGCGCAAGCCUGAUGCAGCCAUGCCGCGUGUAUGAAGAAGGCCUUCGGGUUGUAAAGUACUUUCAGCGGGGAGGCGUUACCCGCAGAAGAAGCACCGGCUAACUCCGUGCCAGCAGCCGCGGUAAUAC
Molecule: ribosomal RNA, 406 nt
Filed under: uncultured bacterium
Lineage: Bacteria
Description: partial 16S ribosomal RNA
Rfam family: Bacterial small subunit ribosomal RNA
Source: RNAcentral